CACGUAGUUGGCCGGUGCUUCUUCUAUGCCUACCGUCACUCUCGCUUCGUCGGCACUGAAAGGGGUUUACAACCCGAAGGCCGUCAUCCCCCACGCGGCGUCGCUGCAUCAGGCUUCCGCCCAUUGUGCAAUAUUCCCCACUGCUGCCUCCCGCAGGAGUCUGGGCCGUGUCUCAGUCCCAGUGUGGCCGGUCGCCCUCUCAGGCCGGCUACCCGUCGUCGCCUUGGUAGGCCAUUACCCCACCAACAAGCUGAUAGGCCGCGGGCUCAUCCCCUACCGAAAAACUUUCCACCCCAAACCAUGCAGUAAGAGGUCAUAUCCGGUAUUAGACCCAGUUUCCCAGGCUUAUCCCAGAGUAGGGGCAGAUCACCCACGUGUUACUCACCCGUUCGCCACUCGUGUACCCCGAAAGGCCUUACUGUUCGACUUGCUAUGUGUUAAGCACGCCGCCAGCGUUCGUCCUGACGCCAGGACUCAAACUCU
RNAcentral lists this ribosomal RNA (483 nucleotides) under uncultured Smaragdicoccus sp. Its description in RNAcentral is "partial 16S ribosomal RNA". The record is from RNAcentral. Lineage: Bacteria; Bacillati; Actinomycetota; Actinomycetes; Mycobacteriales; Nocardiaceae.